Lutra lutra (Eurasian river otter) is the source of this 461-nucleotide long non-coding RNA. RefSeq lists it as uncharacterized. The transcript is spliced from 4 exons. NCBI's taxonomy places the organism in Eukaryota, Metazoa, Chordata, Mammalia, Carnivora, Mustelidae. The record is from RefSeq and is a predicted model, not a curated record.
CCGACCUGGACCUCGGGGUUGCUCUGCAGUAUCACCUUCUUGGCAGUGUCUGAAAGCAAAGAGGCCAUCCCUCUUUUGUGGAAUUCAGACCCCACGUUCUUUGUUCUGUGCUGAAGGUACCUUUCAAAUGAAUACUCGCGCGCCUUUCAAAAGCUUCCCAUCAUGGCGACUGCGAUUUUGAGUGGUUCCCGGUGAAAUGGUGCAGUGAAUGAGAACAUCCGACACCCCUUGGAUGCUGGUUGAUGUCUGUGGUUGCUGAUCUCCCCCAGGAGGACACCGUGGUCUGGCUGCGAGCUCCAGGCCAGCUCUCGGACCAGUUCUCCGACAACUUCAAGGCAAAGGGUAUCAGCCUGGAUGACAUGAGCGUUGUUGAACCACAUCAAACCAAUGAUCUGAUCCUUAACAGCAAAGAGCCCCUGGUCUUUUUAAAGGCAGAAAAAAAAAUCCUGUAACACGAAGGC